RNAcentral lists this ribosomal RNA (425 nucleotides) under uncultured bacterium. RNAcentral describes it as "partial 16S ribosomal RNA". It matches the Rfam family "Bacterial small subunit ribosomal RNA", at positions 354 to 796 of the family's 1533-position model. The record is from RNAcentral.
GUGGGGGAUAUUGCACAAUGGAGGAAACUCUGAUGCAGCGACGCCGCGUGAGUGAAGAAGUAUUUCGGUAUGUAAAGCUCUAUCAGCAGGGAAGAUAAUGACAGUACCUGACUAAGAAGCCCCGGCUAACUACGUGCCAGCAGCCGCGGUAAUACGUAGGGGGCAAGCGUUAUCCGGAUUUACUGGGUGUAAAGGGAGCGUAGACGGAAUGGCAAGUCUGAAGUGAAAUCCUGCGGCUUAACUGCAGAAUUGCUUUGGAAACUGUCAAUCUGGAGUGUUGGAGAGGUAAGCGGAAUUCCUGGUGUAGCGGUGAAAUGCGUAGAUAUCAGGAAGAACACCGGAGGCGAAGGCGGCUUACUGGACAAUAACUGACGUUGAGGCUCGAAAGCGUGGGAAGCAAACAGGAUUAGAUACCCGAGUAGUCC